AGUGAACGCUGGCGGUAGGCCUAACACAUGCAAGUCGAGCGGCAGCACAGUAAGAGCUUGCUCUUACGGGUGGCGAGUGGCGGACGGGUGAGGAAUACAUCGGAAUCUACUUUUUCGUGGGGGAUAACGUAGGGAAACUUACGCUAAUACCGCAUACGACCUACGGGUGAAAGCAGGGGAUCUACGGACCUUGCGCGAUUGAAUGAGCCGAUGUCGGAUUAGCUAGUUGGCGGGGUAAAGGCCCACCAAGGCGACGAUCCGUAGCUGGUCUGAGAGGAUGAUCAGCCACACUGGAACUGAGACACGGUCCAGACUCCUACGGGAGGCAGCAGUGGGGAAUAUUGGACAAUGGGCGCAAGCCUGAUCCAGCCAUACCGCGUGGGUGAAGAAGGCCUUCGGGUUGUAAAGCCCUUUUGUUGGGAAAGAAAAGCAGCAGGUUAAUACCCCGCUGUUCUGACGGUACCCAAAGAAUAAGCACCGGCUAACUUCGUG
Molecule: ribosomal RNA, 492 nt
Filed under: uncultured bacterium
Lineage: Bacteria
Description: partial 16S ribosomal RNA
Rfam family: Bacterial small subunit ribosomal RNA
Source: RNAcentral